GAUGAAGAACGUAGCGAAAUGCAAUAAGUAGUGUGAAUUGCAGAAUUCAGUGAAUCAUCGAAUCUUUGAACGCACAUUGCGCCCCUUGGUAUUCCAUGGGGCAUGCCUGUUCGAGCGUCAUUUGUACCUUCAAGCUCUGCUUGGUGUUGGGUGUUUGUCUCGCCUCUGCGUGUAGACUCGCCUCAAAACAAUUGGCAGCCGGCGUAUUGAUUUCGGAGCGCAGUACAUCUCGCGCUUUGCACUCAUAACGACGACGUCCAAAAGUACAUUUUUACACUCUUGACCUCGGAUCAGGUAGGGAUACCCGCUGAACUUAAGCAUAUCAAUAAGCGGAGGA
RNAcentral lists this unclassified non-coding RNA (337 nucleotides) under soil metagenome. RNAcentral describes it as "partial contains 5.8S ribosomal RNA, internal transcribed spacer 2, and large subunit ribosomal RNA". The stretch from base 1 to 120 matches the Rfam family "5.8S ribosomal RNA", at positions 35 to 154 of the family's 154-position model. The record is from RNAcentral.